AUGCUUGCAAAAGCAGUAGCGACAGAAUCAGGUGCAAAAUUUAUCAACAUAGAAAUGUCAAGAAUUAUGUCAAAGUGGCUUGGGGAUGGAGAGAAGUAUGUGAAGGCCAUUUUCUCUUUGGCAAGUAAAGCAUCUCCGUGUGUAAUAUUCAUUGAUGAGGUUGAAAGUAUGCUUGGAACCAGAGAAAGUCGGGUAGAGCAUGAAAUUAAGCGCAGGAUGAAAAAUGAAUUUAUGGUACAUUGGGAUGGAUUGCGUACCAAGGAUAAAGAACGUGUAUUGGUUCUCGGAGCCACAAAUAGGCCCUUUGAUCUUGAUGAGGCAGUCAUUCGAAGGUUCUCUCACAGAUUAAUGGUGAACCUUCCUGAUGCGUCAAGUAGAGAGAGGAUUUUGGAACAGAUACUGUUCAAAGAAGAGCUGGCACCAGACGUGGAUCUAAAGCUACUCGCCAAUACGACUGAUGGAUUUUCAGGAAGCGGCUUGAAAGAACUUUGUAUGACUGCAGCACUCCGGCGCAUUCCUGAACUCUUGGAAAGAGAAAAGGAGGAAGCGUGUUUAGCGAAAGAUGAAGGUAGGCCUGAGCCUGCAUUGCUAGGAAAUGAUGCCAUCCCCCCUCUUAGCAUGAAGCAUUUGACAUCUGCCCGUGAUCAGGGAGGUGCUAGCUUCUCAUCUGAGUCAAACACAAUGAGUGCCCUUAUUCAGUGGAACAAUCUGUAUGGUGAUGGCGGCUCAAAAAGGAAGAAAAAUCUCAGCUACUUUAUGUAG
Molecule: ribosomal RNA, 762 nt
Filed under: Triticum aestivum (bread wheat)
Lineage: Eukaryota; Viridiplantae; Streptophyta; Magnoliopsida; Poales; Poaceae
Description: partial small subunit ribosomal RNA
Source: RNAcentral